Molecule: long non-coding RNA, 1897 nt
Filed under: Triticum aestivum (bread wheat)
Lineage: Eukaryota; Viridiplantae; Streptophyta; Magnoliopsida; Poales; Poaceae
Description: long non-coding RNA (TAES_LNC012685)
Source: RNAcentral
CCCUGGGUUGCUGCUCUUCGGGCUCGGGCUUCGCAGGCGUCGUCUCCGCUUCCAAAUGUCCGUCGUCUCUGCUCAAGUGAAGCACUAGAUCAUGCGCACCGUCGACCAACCGAUCAGUCGGUAGUCUCCUCGAGUUCCCAAUGUUCGAAUCUAAUCCUAAAUCAUUCGCCCCUUGGCAAAUUAAGUCCCUGCUGUUGGAUCAUGUCGCUGCUGCUUUGGUUAGGCAGCAAUUUGGAAACUCUGUUGCGUAUGUUAUAGGCACGCACAUGCUCUGUCUGUCGUACUUGCAUGGCUCGCAAUUGAAGUGCAUUAAUCUAGAAUUUGCAGAAAAAAUAUAGAGACUUCAUACUUGCUUGGCUCACUAAGCAUAGAUUUAAUUGACCGCAUAUGAGUAGCCCAUUCCAUGAUUUCUAAUAUACUUUGUGAGAGACUGUUCUAGGACUCGGCCCUCCUAGCUAGCUUGCCUAGUUAGGGUCUGUAUCUUAUGUAUUACUAGUGCUUUUAGUACUCUGCCGAUGUAUCUCCCAUUGUGGUCUUUCCUUGUUUGCAUAUUUGCACUGUUUCAUCUGUAUUAGUUGCCUGCCGUGCCUUUGCAAACUCGUGGUUUUCAUGUGCCAAUGGCUGUUACAGGUUGCACUUUGAUACAUAUGCGAGUGUUUUAUUUACUUUACUAGGUAAUUAAUAUUAUUUUCAUGAGCUCUGGCUAUGAAAUGCCGUUUUAAGUUGACGUUCAUUUUAUUGUCAUGAAAAUGUUUCUCCUUUCGCCUUGGGUAUCUGAACUCAAUUGGCGUCAGGAUUCAGUGCAAUCCUGGUUAGCUACUGCAAGUUGUUAGCUCACCUGGUUUGAUGACAUAUGGGCUCUAGGUAAAGAGCUGACACAAAAGGACCAAUGAGAGUGUCAAGUUCUGGUGGCCAAAAUCCCCGCCCCCAGUUACCUUAUCUUUCAGAAUGGAUUUGUUUGACAUGUUUAGGUGAUGUAUGCUCAGUGUGGUGCUCUACCCAGAGUUGGAAGAUCAGUGUGCUGGAAACUUAUACAAACCAAUCCUUCUAAGAUUUAGAUGUAUCUCGUUCAAUAUAUAAUUUUGUCUCGGCCUUAUUUUGUUCCGCUAUUUAAUUUACAGGGCGAGCUUGAAAAAGUUCUUCUUUUAAAAAACAACAUUGAAGCUGCUAAAGACGUGGAUCUUUCCUCCAGUGCAGACUUGUUAGCUAAACAUAUUCAGCAAACUGAGGAAACGAUCAGGUAAAUAAGGGUUUACAGAUUAUUCUAGUUUGAUUCAGCUUGCAUGCAUGAUGUUCAAUUAAGUAGCAUGUGAUUGAAUAUUCCCUGCUCGAAUCUGGGAAGUUAAAUAUAAAAUGGUCUCAUGUUGUUUCUUUAUUCAUUUUUGAAGCCACUUUUCCGAAAGGCACGGGCAAGUUGCUCAAAGGAUAUAUAAAAAUUCACUGAAGUUUUUCUGCGCUGCUGUCGUGUUUGGUAGCGUUGAUCAUUUGAUAUCAAAGUACUGGUUUGAUGGACAUGAUGCUGAGCUUCUGGGGGGUCAAGUUGAAGUUGCAGACGAAUGACCGCAGUCGGCUUAUCUCAUGAUAAAAUAUGGGCUUGUCAGCUCUGUGCUAAGUUACCCUCUAUGAUGUGUGUUAUAUGUAUUAUGUGCUCCAGUCUUGUCAGCUCUAUGCUAAGUUACCUUCUAUUAUAUGUGUUAUAUGUAUUAUGUUCUCCAGUCUGUCAAAGUCUGUCAAAGCAGUAUCUCUAUGAUAUGUAUUGUGUUGUCCAACCGUGUCUACGAUAUGACAUUUGCAUGCACUUCUUCGGUUGUUUUGUAAGUGUACUCAUGAUCUAAGAACAUAUAUGGACUGAACUGUGCCUAUGAUAUAAUCAUAAACAAAAAAUCUUGGUUGCAUA